CCCGCGCGGGGGCUCCCCCUUGCCUGGCCGGGUCCUCCCCUUCCUGCCCGCUGCUGGCUGCUGUCCCCGCUGUAGCGGUCCGGGGCUCCCGGGACUAAAACUUAACACCCUCGGCCCCGUUGUCUUCACCCACAGGUCCUCCCCGCCUCCCCGGACUCCGCGGCUACCCGUGGUCGCGGGGAGGAGGGGCUGGAGGUCUCAGGGUUCCUCCUUCCACUUGCCCGGACAUAAGGUUCAGUUGUGCAACGGGAAAGCGGGACCAGGGCGUGGCCGGGCUACGCCUCGACCCUUCUCCUUAAAACAUCUCGAGAAUUAAAUACCUUUUCUGCCGUCUGCCUGGUUUAGUUUGGAGGAGAAUUUACCAACCCAAAUCUGGCCCAAGCCUGGACCGUCUAGAUAAGGAAGAGGAUCACAGAAACAAAUUGUUUUUGAUUUUGACUUCCUUUACUGGCUAGCUGCAUUCUUGAUGGAGCUACCAGCAAGUAACAGGAUGACUGCAAUGUGUCAGGCUCCACGGAGGUGCUGGGGACCUCACAAUUUAGGAAGAAAGACAGACAAAUUCCCCAUCACAUGACCAUGGGAUAAGGGUAAGGGCUGGCCGAGGUAUGCCUAGAGCACUACAGGAUCUUGAGGGACUUCUCAC
Neogale vison (American mink) is the source of this 643-nucleotide long non-coding RNA. RefSeq lists it as uncharacterized. The transcript is spliced from 3 exons. The record is from RefSeq and is a predicted model, not a curated record. Lineage: Eukaryota; Metazoa; Chordata; Mammalia; Carnivora; Mustelidae.